AUACCUUUCUCGGCCUUUUGGCUAAAAUCAAGUGUAGUAUCUGUUCUUAUCAGUUUAACAUCUGAUAUGUGAGCCAUCGGCUCACACGAUAUUAAAUUGAUUUUUUUCAUGGGGGAGUUCACAUCACAGCUGGGGUGGGCUGGCGCACCCCACCAAAUCUGAGAUAAACAGUUACUGUAUUUGAACGCCU
Papaver somniferum (opium poppy) is the source of this 190-nucleotide small nuclear RNA. RefSeq annotates it as U2 spliceosomal RNA. The transcript has a single exon. The record is from RefSeq and is a predicted model, not a curated record. Lineage: Eukaryota; Viridiplantae; Streptophyta; Magnoliopsida; Ranunculales; Papaveraceae.